GAAAGUCCCCUUCGGGGGGCAAGUAGAUUUGGCGCACGGGUGAGUAACACGUAGGUAAUCUACCUUCGGAUGGGGAAUAACAAUCGGAAACGGUUGCUAAUACCGCAUAAUGCAGCGGCACCUAAUGGUGACAGUUGUUAAAGCGGGGGAUCGAAAGACCUCGCGUCUGAAGAGGAGCCUGCGGCGGAUUAGCUAGUUGGUAAGGUAACGGCUUACCAAGGCUACGAUCUGUAACCGGUCUAAGAGGACGGUCGGUCACACUGACACUGAAUAACGGGUCAGACUCCUACGGGAGGCAGCAGUCGGGAAUUUUGGGCAAUGGGCGAAAGCCUGACCCAGCAACGCCGCGUGAAGGAUGAAAUCCCUCGGGAUGUAAACUUCGCAAGAACGGGAAGAAUAAGUAGGGGACAAUACCCCCUAUGAUGACGGUACCGUUUGUAAGCUCCGGCUAACUCCGUGCCAGCAGCCGCGGUAAUACGGGGGGAGCAAGCGUUGUUCGGAUUUACUGGGCGUAAAGGGCGCGUAGGCGGCCAGCGCAAGUCAGUUGUGGAAAUUCUUCCGAGCUUAACUCGGGAAAGGUCAUUGAUUAACUGGCGGGUUAGAGUGCAGAAGGGGGCAACUGGGAAUUCUCGGGGUAGCGGGUGAAAUU
Molecule: ribosomal RNA, 649 nt
Filed under: uncultured bacterium
Lineage: Bacteria
Description: bacterial SSU rRNA
Rfam family: Bacterial small subunit ribosomal RNA
Source: RNAcentral